Molecule: ribosomal RNA, 332 nt
Filed under: uncultured bacterium
Lineage: Bacteria
Description: bacterial SSU rRNA
Rfam family: Bacterial small subunit ribosomal RNA
Source: RNAcentral
ACGAACGCUGGCGGCGCGCCUAAUACAUGCAAGUCGAGCGAGAAGACGUAGCAAUACGUUUGUAAAGCGGCGAACGGGUGAGGAAUACAUGGGUAACCUACCCUCGAGUGGGGAAUAACUAGCCGAAAGGUUAGCUAAUACCGCGUACGCUCCUUGGACUUCGGUUCAGGGAGGAAAGCGAUACCGUGGGUAUCGCGCUCUUGGAUGGGCUCAUGUCCUAUCAGCUUGUUGGUGAGGUAACGGCUCACCAAGGCUUCGACGGUAGCUGGUCUGAGAGGACAAUCAGCCACACUGGCACUGCGACACGGGCCAGACUCCUACGGGAGGCAGCA